GCGAAAGGGGAUUUUUGCAGUAGUCGCUAGAAAUCUCUGGAAGGCCCUCCCUGCGAAGACUAGUUUCCGUAGCGACCAGCUGAUGUCAUGGUGGAGGACGGCCCCCGGUUGGUGACCUCGAAAAGGGUCGUGCUUACAUCAGAGGAGGAUGAGGAGACGGAACCCAACACACUGCUGCAGAAACUCAAGAGCAAUAUCUCGAAGAAUGUACAGACUAAAGUGGAUUCGAUUCUGGCAAG
Molecule: long non-coding RNA, 239 nt
Organism: Polyodon spathula (Mississippi paddlefish)
Lineage: Eukaryota; Metazoa; Chordata; Actinopteri; Acipenseriformes; Polyodontidae
Exons: 3
Source: RefSeq, a predicted model, not a curated record